Molecule: long non-coding RNA, 305 nt
Organism: Heteronotia binoei (common prickly gecko)
Lineage: Eukaryota; Metazoa; Chordata; Lepidosauria; Squamata; Gekkonidae
Exons: 3
Source: RefSeq, a predicted model, not a curated record
GGACGGGGUGCCAGAGAACUGGGGUGGCUACAAUAACAGCAUCCCAUUGCCUGGUGAUGAUGUCAUCAUUUUGCCAGGCAAAACCAUCCUCGUGGAUAUGACUCUUCCUCGUCUCCGAAGUCUGUACAUCCUGGGAGUUCUGGAAUUCCCUUCCAACUCCAGCAACGUUCUCAGUGCCUCCUGCAUUCUCAUAGCUGGUGGUACGCUGAAUGUUGGCACAUCACAGAAUCCAUUAGAAAGAAGAGCAAAGCUACGAAUUGUCCUUCGGGCAUCUGAGAAGGUUUACUGUGACCGAUUGGAUGGGA